Molecule: non-coding RNA, 71 nt
Organism: Phrynosoma platyrhinos (Desert horned lizard)
Lineage: Eukaryota; Metazoa; Chordata; Lepidosauria; Squamata; Phrynosomatidae
Source: the annotation of a GenBank genome assembly
GCCAGUCUGGCGUAGUGGUUUGAGUGCUGAACUGUGACAUUGGAGACCAGGGUUCAAUUGCCUGCUUGGCC